RNAcentral lists this ribosomal RNA (433 nucleotides) under uncultured bacterium. RNAcentral's name for it is "partial 16S ribosomal RNA". It matches the Rfam family "Bacterial small subunit ribosomal RNA", at positions 29 to 507 of the family's 1533-position model. The record is from RNAcentral.
AACGAACGCUGGCGGCAUGCCUAACACAUGCAAGUCGAACGAGACCUUCGGGUCUAGUGGCGCACGGGUGCGUAACGCGUGGGAACCUGCCCUUCGGUUCGGAAUAACUCCCCGAAAGGGGUGCUAAUACCGGAUAAUGUCUUCGGACCAAAGAUUUAUCGCCUUUGGAUGGGCCCGCGUUGGAUUAGCUAGUUGGUAGGGUAAAAGCCUACCAAGGCGACGAUCCAUAGCUGGUCUGAGAGGAUGAUCAGCCACACUGGGACUGAGACACGGCCCAGACUCCUACGGGAAGCAGCAGUGGGGAAUAUUGGACAAUGGGCGAAAGUCUGAUCCAGCAAUGCCGCGUGAGUGAUGAAGGCCUUAGGGUUGUAAAGCUCUUUUACCCGGGAUGAUAAUGACAGUACCGGGAGAAUAAGCUCCGGCUAAAUCCGUG